This 496-nucleotide ribosomal RNA is filed under the name uncultured bacterium. RNAcentral's name for it is "partial 16S ribosomal RNA". It matches the Rfam family "Bacterial small subunit ribosomal RNA", at positions 28 to 506 of the family's 1533-position model. The record is from RNAcentral.
GACGAACGCUGGCGGCGUGCCUAAUACAUGCAAGUUGAGCGCUGAAGGUUGGUACUUGUACCAACUGGAUGAGCAGCGAACGGGUGAGUAACGCGUGGGGAAUCUGCCUUUGAGCGGGGGACAACAUUUGGAAACGAAUGCUAAUACCGCAUAAAAACUUUAAACACAAGUUUUAAGUUUGAAAGAUGCAAUUGCAUCACUCAAAGAUGAUCCCGCGUUGUAUUAGCUAGUUGGUGAGGUAAAGGCUCACCAAGGCGAUGAUACAUAGCCGACCUGAGAGGGGGAUCGGCCACAUUGGGACUGGGCCCCGGCCCAACCCCCUACGGGGGGCAGCAGUGGGGAAUUUUCGGCAAUGGACGAAAGUCUGACCGGGCAACGCCGGGGGAGUGAAGAAGGUUUUCGGAUCGUAAAACUCUGUUGGUAGGGAAGAACGUUGGGGGGGGUGGAAAGCCAAUCAAGUGACGGUAACCACCCAGAAAGGGACGGCUAACUACGU